CUUAAAAAUGCGCCCUUGGCAAAUUCUAAAAGAUGUCAUGAUAUUCUCAAUGAGCUUGACAAGUUGUUAUCUAACGAAACUCUUAAUACA
Molecule: long non-coding RNA, 90 nt
Organism: Sinocyclocheilus anshuiensis
Lineage: Eukaryota; Metazoa; Chordata; Actinopteri; Cypriniformes; Cyprinidae
Exons: 3
Source: RefSeq, a predicted model, not a curated record